Molecule: ribosomal RNA, 474 nt
Filed under: uncultured Pelagibacterales bacterium
Lineage: Bacteria; Pseudomonadati; Pseudomonadota; Alphaproteobacteria; Candidatus Pelagibacterales
Description: bacterial SSU rRNA
Rfam family: Bacterial small subunit ribosomal RNA
Source: RNAcentral
UAGGGUUUGAUUAUGGCUCAGAACGUACGCUGGCGGCACGCCUAACACAUGCAAGUCGAACGCUAGUAGCAAUACUGAGUGGCAAACGGGUGAGUAUAAUGUGGGAAUCUGCCUUUUGGUUUGGAAUAACACGGGGAAACUUGUGCUAAUACCGAAUAAGCCCUAACGGGGAAAGUUUUAACGCCGAAAGAUGAGCCCGCACUUGAUUAGCUAGUUGGUAAGGUAAAAGCUUACCAAGGCAAUGAUCAAUAGCUGUUCUUAGAGGAAGACCAGCCACAUUGGGACUGAGACACGGCCCAGACUCCUACGGGAGGCAGCAGUGGGGAAUCUUGCACAAUGGGAGAAACCCUGAUGCAGCGAUGCCGCGUGAGUGAAGAAGGCCUUUGGGUUGUAAAACUCUUUCGUCGGGAAGAAAAUGACUGUACCCGAAUAAGAAGGUCCGGCUAACUUCGUGCCAGCCGCCGCGGUAAUACA